This is a long non-coding RNA of Triticum dicoccoides, 4618 nucleotides long. RefSeq lists it as uncharacterized. The transcript is spliced from 5 exons. The record is from RefSeq and is a predicted model, not a curated record. NCBI's taxonomy places the organism in Eukaryota, Viridiplantae, Streptophyta, Magnoliopsida, Poales, Poaceae.
GCACCAGCCACCACCCAAACCCUAGCCCCGUCUCCCCUCGAUCCCCACAGCCUCGCCCACCUCCUCCAUCCCUCCUCCUCGCCUCGCCACGGCCUCCGCCCCGGAGCCUCGCCGCCGCCUGCGAUUCCUCCCUCCUGCCCGCAGAGCCCAUUGGGCUAGCCAACCCUAGCCCCAAUCCACAUCCCCCGCGCCCCUCACUGGUCCCUCCUCCUCCUUCCCUCGUCCGCCGCCUCGCUCCCUCGCUCUCCUCCCUCGUCGCCGUGGCCUUCGGCCUAGGAGCCCCGCCGCCUACUGCUCCUCCUCCACCACCUCGCCUCUUUCUCCUCCUCGCCUUCCCAUCGCUCGCGCGCAUGUCACCGCCGUCGAAGAACACGGGAGUGCGGGUCUUCAAGUUGGGGUGGUCAGGAGGGCUUCCCAACCUGACGGCGCCUCCUCCUCCUCGCAGCGUCGUAGCGCGUGCACCUUCUUAUCCCCCCUCCUCCCUCCCUCGUCACUACUUCCACCAGUUCCCUCCCUUCCUCGUCUGUGGACGCUGCUGACCCCUCCUCCGGCCUCUGCGUCUCCGCCCAGGCGGCAAGGCCCCCAGCCCCCCUCGGGCCUCGGCCCCUCCGUACAGCCCGCUUCUGCCUCGUCCAACUCGCUGCUUAGCUCCCAAGAUAAUUUCAGUGGUGAUACCUGAUGCUCAGGCUCGGAGGGCAGCGGGCGCGGCAGGCUUGGCAGGCAGCGGGCGCGGUGGUCAAGGCCAGGGGCGCGGAUUGGGGAGAUGCGCACACGAGGAGCGACGGCGACCGUGUCUGCCGCCAACACUGAGGUGAGCUUCACCCAAUCUCUCUCUUACUCUCUCUGUGCGGCCUCCUCCCCUUGGCCCCUGAUUCAUUGAUGAGGUAUGCCAAUAUGCCAUGGUUGUGUGUUCGCAAACCCUUCCCUUUUAUCACUAUCAAAUAGUGUCAAACAGAGCAUCUUAUACUUUGUUUCUACGUGCAAAUCAGCUCUUCGUUCUUUCAAGCCCUAUGUUGCUUACUCAAAUGUUUGUGGCGAUUGUAUCCUUGUGCCAUGAAUAUUUGUACUUAGCAGAUCAAUAUGAACAUAUUGGUUAUCUAUUUACCAAUUCAGAAUUUAAAACACUUUAUUUUAUGGCCUUGAGUAAAAGUUCAGUCAUUGUUGGCUGGAAGACAUCUUCAAUACGCCGUCAACACGAGCUUCCCAAGGUAAUGAUCUAAGAGGAAGUGAGUUCGAGAUGAGAUGGGGACAGAAGAUCCUGCAGCGACGUUGUUUCUUGUUCUCCUGCUCAAGGUUUGCUCUUUCCUACUUACUGUCAUGGUGGUUGGUUCACUGCUCGUUUUAUUGUUUCGGAAUUAGCCGCCUGUCGUGUUUUGAUUUGCCUCGUGCUGCUUAUAUUUCGUGUUUGCGUGUGGGAAGGAUGUGUGCUAUAGAUUUUGUGUGUGCAUCCGAGAUACCUAGAAUGGUUGAGAACUGAAUGUGUUGCCCUAUUUAAUUGGCAUAUUCAACUUAAUUAAUACGCCUUUUAGCCGUGACUUCUGCCCAAACUUUUGAAAGUGCAGAUGAUCACGCUAUCGGGUAAUGGUGUUUUCUAUUGCAAUUUGUCAGCUAUACUACAUGCUGCCCCUGUUUCUUUUGCUCUGCUAAAAAUGUGUGCUUACUUUCAAUCUUAUUACAUCAAUAGACUUCCGGGCGUAUAGUAUUUCUGUAAUCUCUAUGCCUUACUGGUUUUGUGAUUUCAGCUCAGGUGGAUGAGCCCCGUCCUGUGUUAUUCCCCUUGGUUUCUGAAGCUCCCAGGAUUUAAUAAUGAAUUGUCUUGGGCUUCAUUGGACAAAUGAUCUACCUCGAGCAAUGAUGCAGUGUAGGUUGGCGUUGAAGCCUCAUGGCGUUUUUCUUGCAGCAAAUCUUGGCGGGAAGACUCUGAAGUGAUAAUCUUAAAUUUGCCAUUUACCGACAUUUUCCAGUUUCUUGUUUGACUUGCCUUUUCUUGGAUGCGAUGAUAAGGGAACUAAGAAUUGCGUGCACUAUUGCUCAAAUGGAACAUAAGGGAGGCAUCCGUCCUCGAAUGUUGCCUUUAGAACAAGUAUGAUUCCUUUAUAAUCUGAGAUUUUGCCCUUCCAGGAGUUGAUGUAGAUCGAUAUACAGUCAAAUACAAUACUGGCGUGUAUAAAAAAACUUGAAUUUUCCUGGGAUUGAACUUUGAACUAAUAAAUCUAGACUAUGGAGGUAAUGUGCUUUGCAUUAUUAUAGAUCGUAUAUGCUGCUCUUACUUAAUUAUACUUUUUAAUUACAUGCUGCCCCUGUUUCUUUUGUUGUGCUAAAAAUGGGUGCUUACUUUCAAUCUUAUCGCAUCAAUAGACUUGCGGGCGUAUAUUAUUUCUGUAAUCUCUGUGCCUUACCGAUUUUGUGAUUUCAGCUCAGGUGGAUGAGCCCCAUCCUGUGUUAUUCCCCUUGGUUUCUGAAGCUCCCAGGAUUUAAUAAUGAGGUGUCUUGGGCUUCAUUGGACAGAUGAUCUACCUCGAGCAAUGAUACAUUGUAGGUUGGUGUUGAAGUCUGAUGGCGUUUUUCUUGCAGCAAAUCUUGGCAGGAAGACUCUGAAGUGAUAAUCUUAAAUUUGCCAUUUACCGACAUUUUCCAGUUUCUUGUUUGACUUGCCUUUUCUUGGAUGCGAUGAUAAGGGAACUAAGAAUUGCGUGCACUAUUGCUCAAAUGGAACAUAAGGGAGGUAUCAGUCCUCAAAUGUUGCCUCUAGAACAAGUAUGAUUCCUUUAUAAUCGGAGAUUUUGCCCUUCCAAGAGUUGAUGUAGAUCGAUAUACAGUCAAGUACAAUACUGGCGUGUAUAAAAAAACUUGAAUUUUCCUGAGAUUGAACUUUGAACUAAUAAAUCUAGACUAUGGAGAAGUAACGCUCAAAAGCCUGAAUAGAAUUCCUUGGGAAAGGGUAGAUGUUAGCUUCAAGAGAAGUAGACAAUAGAUUUUUGCCCAUAGCACCAUUCAGGUAUGUUAUGAACCCCAUUACCUUGGUAAUAGUUUUCCUGGUGUUACUUAAUUAUCCCCUGGUAUAUUCUGUUGUCUCCAUACAUGUUAAUCUGAUAACAUAUACAAAGGUUGUGUAGGUAAUGGCAUAGCAGAUUUUAGUUUCAUGAUCUUACUUAAAUGUAGUUCUGGCGAUAGAUAGCUUUACACUAUCCGUCAUGUGCAUGGCUGUCGAAGUACAUCAUCGUUAUGAUGUGUAUGGUUUCUCUAUUUUCAGCCCUACUGCUCCUGAGCCCAAAUCCCAUGACCAUGCCCCCACCUCUCCUUUGUUGAAUGAAGGGAGUCUGGUUGCUAAAAAGUGAGUUUUCUUAAUCAGUAUGUAUGGCCCCUCUGCACAUGAUGUUUCUUCGUAUUUAUGAGGCCCUCAAGCUUUGUCAGUUUUCUAAUAGAUAUGGAAUUUUAAUUUGAUAGUCCCAACAACGAUGGGUAUUGAUGGAGCUAUCUAUUAUUUAUUGUCAAUCUGUAAUACUUUUGUCAGCUUCUAGCAUGUCGUUGCUCUGCCAGAGUGCAAUUUUCUCUGCAUGGCAUACACCAGUUACCAUUAGUUGAUAUGUUUGUUGAAGUUUUAUUGCAAGUUAAAUAAAUGUGUAGUGUGGCAUACUGAUUAUUAUAGUUUGAUAAUGUCAGGCGCCGAUGGCUUUAGAUAUGUAAAUAAAAUAUGGUGAUUGUCACCGGCAUGUAGUGUGGCAUACUAAUCAAAUGACUAAGCAUUUAAUUAUUGUUCUGUUAUGUUGUUGAUUUCACCGGCUUUAUGUCGGCUGAUUAGUUCUGAAGGAUUCCACAUCGGCUAAUUUAGAUUAUGUUACUAGAGUAUUACAAGAAGUUCCUGAUAUAUGUAUUUAGAGCAUUUGCUGAGAUUUGAUGCAAAAUAUUGAUGACCAGGCAUUAUACUGCGCAUAAGCACAAUUUUUUAGUUUUUCUUUUUAUUGUUGCAGCAACUUUUCUAUAGCAAUAGCCAAAUAGUGUGACAUAACACUAUUCCAUUUUCAUAGGCCAUAACACAUCUUUACAUGUAAGUUUGUUCUCUAGAUAGUUCUCUUUCCAAGAUUUUCAUAUCAUAUUUGUUGUGGGAUCUGACUGCUUUACCAUAUUUUCCUGGUGUGGACGAUGUUAUAGAGUGAGCUACCAUCACUUCUCAUUACUGACUGUAAUCAAUAUAUAUGUGUUUAUGCCAUAAAAGAUGGAUAUUUGUCGAAGCCGUUGUCGUGUCAUGUAAUUACCUGGAGAUCAGCUAUAUAGUUUUGUUCGGAUUGUAAAGUGGAAACGACAACUCCUGUGUGAUUGUCAUUUGAUUAUUUACUUCCUCAAGUAGUAUGGAUAUGGUGCUGCCAGGAUAUUAAGUAUAUUCAUGAAGUUGUAUAAACCACGUUCUACGAUUCACAUCUGUUAUGCAUAUAUACUUUCCAGUUUUAGGACUGAAAUCCAUCCAUUGUAAUGAACUUGGUUGUAUGGGCAUUACCUAUUUGACUUAGGCUUGCUUCAUCACAUAUAGACUGCUUUUCUUUUCCCCACUGCUUGUAUGACCUAAAACUAUCAUGUAUAUGAGGCAAGUUAUUAGCAAUGUUUCACAUUUUCGUACUUG